UUUCCGUAGGUGAACCUGCGGAAGGAUCAUUAUUGAAUGAAACACUUCUGGCUUUAUGCUGUUGUGCUGGCCCUUUGGGCAAUGUGCACACGGCUCUGGUCACUUGUUUCUUCUGUUCCACCUGUGCACUGCCUGUAGACACGCUGUGUCUAUGAUAUUAGUUAACACACAACAAUGUUAGUUGGCAUGUUAUAUAUAAUAAUAAAAUAUACAACUUUCAACAACGGAUCUCUUGGCUCUC
This 241-nucleotide unclassified non-coding RNA is filed under the name plant metagenome. RNAcentral's name for it is "partial contains small subunit ribosomal RNA, internal transcribed spacer 1, and 5.8S ribosomal RNA". The record is from RNAcentral.